UUAUAGGUAGGGGAGCGUUCCGUUCUCGGGUGAAGUUUUCACGUAAGUGGGGAUGGACGGUACGGAAGUGAGAAUGUUGGCUUGAGUAACGAAAACAUUGGUGAGAAUCCAAUGCCCCGAAAACCUAAGGGUUCCUCCACUAGGUUCGUCCAUGGGGGGUUAGUCAGGACCUAAGGCUAGGCAAGUACACAAUUUGCGUCGUCGAUGGCAAACAGGUUAAUAUUCCUGUACUAAUUAAAUUAGGAUCUGAGGGACGAAGGAGGCUAAGCUGGAACUGUUUUUGGAUUGCAGUGGAAGCGUUUAGACGUUGAGAGAUCGAACAAAAACGAUCUUGAGUGGAGGCGUAAUCCCUACUUUUUGGUUCGCCAAAAAGUAGCUAGUGAUGUCAUACUUCCAAGAAAAGCUCAUACAUCUUUAUAAUUUAAUUACCUGUACCUGAAACCGACACAGGUAGGUUGGUAGAGAAUACUAAGGGGCGCGAGAGAACUCUCUCUAAGGAACUCGGCAAACUGGCCCCGUAACUUCGGAAGAAGGGGCGCCCAGGAUUCAUUUCUUGGGUCGCAGUGACCAGGCUCAGGCGACUGUUUACCAAAAACACAGGUCUCCGCAAAGUCGUAAGACAAUAUAUGGGGGCUGACGCCUGCCCAGUGCCGGAAGGUUAAGGAAGUUGGUUACUGUUAAAGGGAAGCUGACGACCGAAGCCCCGGUGAACGGCGGUCGUAACUAUAACGAUCCUAAGGUAGCGAAAUUCAUUGUCGAGUAAGUUUCGACCUGCACGAAAGGCGUAACGAUCUGAGCGCUGUCUCAGAGAGAGGCUCGGUGAAAUAGACUUGUCCCGUGAAGAUGCGGACUACCUACACCUGGACAGAAAGACCCUAUGAAGCUUGACUGUAUCUUGGAAUUGGGUUCGGGCUUUUCUUGCGCAGCCUAGGUGGGAGGCGUUGAAGAUUACCUUCCGGGGUAGUUGGAGCCAUCAGUGAGAGACCACUCUGGAAGAGCUAGAAUUCUAAUGGGGAUCCUUGAAUCAGGACCCUUGACAGUUUCAGGUGGGCAGUUUAUUUGGGGCGAAUACCUCCUAAAAGGUAACGGAGGUGUGCAAAGGUUCCCUCAGUCUGGACGGAAAUCAGACAUUGAGUGUAAAGGCAAAAGGGAGCUUGACUGCAAGACCUACAAGUCGAGCAGGGGCGAAAGCCGGCCUUAGUGAUCCGACGGUGCCGAGUGGAAGGGCCGUCGCUCAACGGAUAAAAGUUACUCUAGGGAUAACAGGCUGAUCUUCCCCAAGAGUUCACAUCGACGGGAAGGUUUGGCACCU
This 1312-nucleotide ribosomal RNA is filed under the name Chlamydomonas starrii. Its description in RNAcentral is "LSU rRNA". It matches the Rfam family "Bacterial large subunit ribosomal RNA", at positions 1222 to 2526 of the family's 2925-position model. Lineage: Eukaryota; Viridiplantae; Chlorophyta; Chlorophyceae; Chlamydomonadales; Chlamydomonadaceae. The record is from RNAcentral.